Populus nigra (black poplar) is the source of this 491-nucleotide long non-coding RNA. RefSeq lists it as uncharacterized. The record is from RefSeq and is a predicted model, not a curated record. Lineage: Eukaryota; Viridiplantae; Streptophyta; Magnoliopsida; Malpighiales; Salicaceae. The transcript has 2 exons.
CUUUAGGCAUCAAAAGGCUUUCAACGCAAGCUUGUAUAAUACCCUUUAGGUUUUUUCUCUUGCUUUUAAAUGGAUGCAUGGCAUUCAUUUGGUGCCUGCAAAGACCCUGUUUGCUGCUAUCAAGUGGGGAAACCAUCAACUGAAAACAGAUCUUUGUUCUUCGACCGUUUAAUUGAGGCUGCCUUAUCAGUUGUGGUGGAGGACGUGACCAAGAAAUCAAAGGAUCUGCACCCUUUCUUGAACUUCCCAAGGCACAAAAAGUGGCGAGUGGCCCAAAGGCCUCAGAGUUAAAAGCCAAGAUAGAAGCUGAGCAGCAUGCUCUACGCCGAAUGCGCAUGUGCCUCUUCAUGCAACAAGAAAUUUGCUUCUUCAUGCAACAAGAAAUUUUAAAUUUGGAUUGUUGGUUCACUUUGUAGCAUUAUUGAAAUGGUCUCAAUUUAGUCCAGCAAGUGGGUUCUAAUAAAAUGCAGUCGUCAUGGAGCAUAUUUCAA